Molecule: ribosomal RNA, 497 nt
Filed under: uncultured bacterium
Lineage: Bacteria
Description: partial 16S ribosomal RNA
Rfam family: Bacterial small subunit ribosomal RNA
Source: RNAcentral
AGUGAACGCUGGCGGCAUGCCUAACACAUGCAAGUCGAACGAACCGACAGGGAGCUUUCGCCUCUGCGGGUGGCGGCGGACGGAUGAGUAACGCAUGCAUAACCUACCUCUAUGACGGGGGUGAUAACGGGGAAAAGGAGCUACUAACAGAUCAUAUAUUGAACGGGAGGAAUCAAUAGUGAAUCACGCUUUUGGUGUUACUUAUAGCUGAAUCCGUGCCGCAUUGGCUAGUUGGUAAGGUAACGGCUUACCAAGGCGACGAUGCGUAGCCGACCUGAGAGGGUGAUCGGCCACACUGGAACUGAGACACGGUCCAGACUCCUACGGGAGGCAGCAGUAGGGAAUAUUCCGCAAUGGGCGAAAGCCUGAUCCAGCAACACCGCGUGAGUGAUGAAGGUCUUCGGAUCGUAAAACCCUUUUGUUGGGAAAGAACAAAUGUGGAUUUAACUAUGGAUGUCUUGACGGUACCUAAAGAAAAAGCCCCGGCUAACUUCGUG